This 442-nucleotide ribosomal RNA is filed under the name uncultured bacterium. Its description in RNAcentral is "bacterial SSU rRNA". It matches the Rfam family "Bacterial small subunit ribosomal RNA", at positions 32 to 480 of the family's 1533-position model. The record is from RNAcentral.
AAUCAACGCUGGCGGCGUGCCUCAGACAUGCAAGUCGAACGAUUAAACUUUCCUUCGGGAAAGAUAUAAAGUGGCGCACGGGUGAGUAACACGUAGGUAAUGUACCUUUGGGUGGGAAUAACCAUCGGAAACGAUGGCUAAUACCGCAUAAUGCAGCGGCAUCGCAAGAUGACAGUUGUUAAAGCGAGCAAUCGCGCCUAAAGAGCAGCCUGCGGCAGAUAGGUAGUUGGUAAGGUAAUGGCUUACCAAGCCUGCGAUCUGUAACCGACCUGAGAGGGUGGUCGGUCACACUGACACUGAAUAACGGGUCAGACUCCUACGGGAGGCAGCAGUCGGGAAUUUUGGGCAAUGGGCGAAAGCCUGACCCAGCAACGCCGCGUGAAGGACGAAGUCUUUCGGGAUGUAAACUUCGUAAGAAUAGGAAGAAUAAAUGACGGUACUA